CAUGAAGCAAUGCGCAAAAUGAAGAAUGAAUUUAUGGUGAACUGGGAUGGCUUGCGUACAAAAGAUAAGGAACGUGUACUAGUACUUGGAGCAACCAAUAGACCUUUCGAUCUUGAUGAGGCUGUAAUUAGAAGGCUUCCCCGGAGGUUAUAUCUUUUCCAAAUUCAUACCUUUUGCAGUACUCAUCCUCCCAGAAACCCCAUCCAGCAUUUUUUUAGCAUAUGGACAGUUUGGAGUUACUCUAGUUUGUUAAUUUUGUUUGUGUCCAAGUGCAGGCUGAUGGUGAACUUGCCAGAUGCUCAGAACAGGGAGAAAAUUUUAAAAGUGAUAUUAGCAAAGGAAGAGUUGGCUCCAAAUGUUGAUCUCGAAGUAGUUGCUAACAUGACAGCAGGGUAUUCAGGUAGUGAUCUAAAGGUAUGUGGCCUAUUUUUUCUGAUUAUGUUAAAAUUAUUUUUUAUUAUCACCAUUUCUUCUAAUGGUUGCAAUACAUCUGUUCUUACAUGUUAAUUAUUUUAAUUUUCCAGAAUCUCUGUGUGACAGCUGCACAUUGCCCAAUAAGAGAAAUUUUAGAGGAGGAGAGGAAGGUUGGUAUGCUUUAAUUGUAUCUUUUUAUCAUUUAAUCUCUCUUUGUUUAGGCAGAAUUUUAUAUCUAAAGUUGUUUCUGUCAAGAACAUACUGAUACGAAUCAGCUGAGUUGAGUUUGAGCAUUUUAUUUUUCUGUCCUCUUUCUUUUCUCUUGAAAGUUCAUGCUUUGUGUUUUGAUCUUUUCAUCGAAAGCAUGCUGAAGUUUUCAUUCUAUAUUAUUAUUCAUGUGCGACUGUUUUUAUGUGCAUUUUUGUUUUAAUAAAAAAUUUUAUAUCUAAACUUGUAGGAGAAAGUCUUGGCACUGGCAGAGAGCAGACCAUUGCCUGAAUUGCAUAGCAGUGCAGACAUUCGUCCCCUGAGUACGGAUGAUUUUCGAUAUGCACAUGAACAGGUAUGUUUGUUUCUGUUACCGUGUGUACAUGUACUUGGUGAAUGUAAUCGUUGCCUUUUCUUGUUAAUCAAGAGAAAUUCACUGUUUAUGUAUGAUAUGAGAAAUGAAAAGAUUUCUCUGGGCAUGACUCCUUCAAAAUAUUGAUUAUAAGCUUCCCACCAACCAGAAAUGGCCAAAAUUGGAAUUCUUGAUUUCUUUUAGAAGCGAAUGAGAGGGAAAAGAGGCAGGCUGGGAAAAAUUGCCUUGAAGUAUAGGAAUUCAGGGUAGUUGUAUUGGCAGGAAAUAAAUUUGGAUAAAUGAUCUUAUGGUGCAUCUGUUCAUAGUCUUGCUUCUUACUCAAUUUUGCUUGGUUGUAUGGGCCCGGUAUGAAGCUUUCUUGUGAAUGUUGUUAUCUAUCUUGACUUGGUACUGGUACUAGUACUAGUAUUUUCUUUGUUGCUGUCAGAAUAUUGUCCUUGUUUUUCAGCUGGUGCAAACUUUAUUAAUAUAUCAAUGUCAAGCAUCACAUCAAAAGUACAUUUUCUUAGUCACCCUUGAAAUUUAGCAUUUCUUAUAGUCAUCUCCCCUUUUUGAGUAAUGUUCUUUUUCUUGCAUUCAGUGGUUUGGUGAAGGAGAGAAAUAUGUCAAAGCAGUCUUCUCAUUGGCUAGUAAAAUAGCCCCUAGUGUAAUUUUUGUUGAUGAGGUUGGUAUAACAUCUCUUAAAUAAAUUAAUGCUUCUUGAUUAAUUGCUGUUCCUUUCAAUUUUUCCAUGUUGGUCUGUGUGUAGGGGUGUGUGUGUGUGUGUGUGUCUGAACUUUUUGCUUUCUCUUGUCCACGUAUACUGUGCCUUAGAGAGAAGAAGGGGGAGGUUAAUUUAUUGGGGACAGCCAACAUUUUUUUGUUUUCUUAUUUUGCUUCACGUGAUGAUAUAAUAUUCUGCUGUUGUCAAAUUUCCUGUUUGUUUUUCUUAGCCCUUGUUUGAGCACCAUUAUUUAAAACUCAUUUUCAACUACACAUUCAUCCAAUAAAAUAAUUUUGCAUGUUAACUUAACUUUUUUCUUAAAUUCACUUUUUACGAAAUCUAUCUCAAAAAUGCGGCUCAAACAAAGGCUUAUUUUUUUCUCCCUUUUCUUUUUAAAUAGCCUUUUAUAUAUGUUCCUAUAGGUCGACAGUAUGUUAGGAAGACGUGAAAACCCGGGAGAACAUGAAGCAAUGCGCAAAAUGAAGAAUGAAUUUAUGGUGAACUGGGAUGGCUUGCGUACAAAAGAUAAGGAACGUGUACUAGUACUUGGAGCAACCAAUAGACCUUUCGAUCUUGAUGAGGCUGUAAUUAGAAGGCUUCCCCGGAGGUUAUAUCUUUUCCAAAUUCAUACCUUUUGCAGUACUCAUCCUCCCAGAAACCCCAUCCAGCAUUUUUUUAGCAUAUGGACAGUUUGGAGUUACUCUAGUUUGUUAAUUUUGUUUGUGUCCAAGUGCAGGCUGAUGGUGAACUUGCCAGAUGCUCAGAACAGGGAGAAAAUUUUAAAAGUGAUAUUAGCAAAGGAAGAGUUGGCUCCAAAUGUUGAUCUCGAAGUAGUUGCUAACAUGACAGCAGGGUAUUCAGGUAGUGAUCUAAAGGUAUGUG
Molecule: long non-coding RNA, 2579 nt
Filed under: Olea europaea (common olive)
Lineage: Eukaryota; Viridiplantae; Streptophyta; Magnoliopsida; Lamiales; Oleaceae
Description: long non-coding RNA (OEUR_LNC011953)
Source: RNAcentral